Molecule: ribosomal RNA, 508 nt
Filed under: uncultured glomeraceous AM fungus
Lineage: Eukaryota; Fungi; Glomeromycota; Glomeromycetes; Glomerales; Glomeraceae
Description: SSU rRNA
Rfam family: Eukaryotic small subunit ribosomal RNA
Source: RNAcentral
AGCAGCCGCGGUAAUUCCCGCUCCAAUAGCGUAUAUUAAAGUUGUUGCAGUUAAAAAGCUCGUAGUUGAAUUUCGGGAUCAAUGUUUCGGUCAUGCCCUUGGUAUGUACUGAUAUUAUUGGUUUCUCACCUCCUAAAGAACCGUAAUGCCAUUAAUUUGGUGUCACGGGGAAUUAGGACUGUUACCUUGAAAAAAUUAGAGUGUUUAAAGCAGGCUCACGCUUGAAUACAUUAGCAUGGAAUAAUGAAAUAGGACAUCCGAUUCUAUUUUGUUGGUUUCUGGGAUCGAUGUAAUGAUUAAUAGGGAUAGUUGGGGGCAUUAGUAUUCAAUUGUCAGAGGUGAAAUUCUUGGAUUUAUUGAAGACUAACUACUGCGAAAGCAUUUGCCAAGGAUGUUUUCAUUAAUCAAGAACGAAAGUAGGGGAUCGAAGACGAUCAGAUACCGUCGUAGUCUUAACCAUAAACUAUGCCGACUAGGGAUCGGAUGAUGUUAAUUUUUUAAUGACUCG